UACAGAGACUGCAAGCGUUAUUCGGAUUCACUGGGCGUAAAGGGUGCGUAGGCGGUCGGGUAAGUUUGACGUGAAAUCUCCGGGCCUAACCCGGAAACUGCGUUGAAUACUAUCUGGCUAGAGGAAUGGAGGGGAGACUGGAAUACUUGGUGUAGCAGUGAAAUGCGUAGAUAUCAAGUGGAACACCAGUGGCGAAGGCGAGUCUCUGGACAAUUCCUGACGCUGAGGCACGAAAGCCAGGGGAGCAAACGGG
RNAcentral lists this ribosomal RNA (253 nucleotides) under uncultured bacterium. Its description in RNAcentral is "partial 16S ribosomal RNA". It matches the Rfam family "Bacterial small subunit ribosomal RNA", at positions 524 to 776 of the family's 1533-position model. The record is from RNAcentral.